Molecule: ribosomal RNA, 253 nt
Filed under: uncultured bacterium
Lineage: Bacteria
Description: partial 16S ribosomal RNA
Rfam family: Bacterial small subunit ribosomal RNA
Source: RNAcentral
UACGGGGGGGGCAAGCGUUGUUCGGAAUUACUGGGCGUAAAGGGCUCGUAGGUGGCCAACUAAGUCGGACGUGAAAUCCCUCGGCUUAACCGGGGAACUGCGUCUGAUACUGGAUGGCUUGAGUUUGGGAGAGGGAUGCGGAAUUCCGGGUGUAGCGGUGAAAUGCGUAGAUAUCCGGAGGAACACCGGUGGCGAAGGCGGCUUCCUGGACCGACACUGACGCUGAGGCGCGAAAGCUAGGGGAGCAAACGGG